Molecule: ribosomal RNA, 1181 nt
Filed under: uncultured Alphaproteobacteria bacterium
Lineage: Bacteria; Pseudomonadati; Pseudomonadota; Alphaproteobacteria
Description: bacterial SSU rRNA
Rfam family: Bacterial small subunit ribosomal RNA
Source: RNAcentral
AUGCAAGUCGAACGAAGUAGCAAUACUUAGUGGCAAACGGGUGAGUAAUAUGUGGGAAUCUACCCUUCGGUCUGGAAUAACAUGAGGAAACUUAUGCUAAUACCGGAUAAGCCUUUACAGGGAAAGCUUUAUGCUCCGAUUGAUGAGUCCACACUUGAUUAGUUAGUUGGUGGGGUAAUAGCUCACCAAGACAAUGAUCAAUAGCUGAUUUGAGAGGAUGAUCAGCCACAUUGGGACUGAGACACGGCCCAAACUCCUACGGGAGGCAGCAGUGGGGAAUCUUGCACAAUGGGGGAAACCCUGAUGCAGCGAUGCCGCGUGAGUGAAGAAGGCCCUUGGGUUGUAAAGCUCUUUCGUCGGGGAAGAAAAUGACUGUACCCGAAUAAGAAGGUCCGGCUAACUUCGUGCCAGCAGCCGCGGUAAUACGAAGGGACCUAGCGUAGUUCGGAAUUACUGGGCUUAAAGAGCACGUAGGUGGUUAAAAAAGUUGGUGGUGAAAUCCCAGAGCUUAACUCUGGAACUGCCAUCAAAACUUUUUAGCUAGAGUAUGAUAGAGGAAAGCAGAAUUUUUAGUGUAGAGGUGAAAUUCGUAGAUAUUAAAAAGAAUACCAAUUGCGAAGGCAGCUUUCUGGAUCAUUACUGACACUGAGGUGCGAAAGCAUGGGUAGCGAAGAGGAUUAGAUACCCUCGUAGUCCAUGCCGUAAACGAUGUGUGCUAGACGUUGGAAAUUUAUUUUCAGUGUCGCAGCAAAAGCAUUAAGCACACCGCCUGGGGAGUACGACCGCAAGGUUAAAACUCAAAUGAAUUGACGGGGACCCGCACAAGCAGUGAGCAUGUGUUUAAUUCGAAGAUACGCGCAGAACCUUACCAACACUUGACAUGUUCGUCGCGACUUUAAGAGAUUAAAGUCUUCGGUUCGGCCGGACGAAACACAGGUGCUGCAUGGCUGUCGUCAGCUCGUGUCGUGAGAUGUGGGUAAGUCCGCAACGAGCGCAACCUUACUUUUAGUUGCAUCAUUUAGUUGGCACUCUGAAGAACUGCAGUGAUAAGCUGGAAGAAGGUGGAUGACGUCAGGUCUCAUGCCCUUACGGGUGCUACCACGGUGCUACAUGCAUAAAUAGAGCAGAUGGGCAACUCAGCCAUUCUGAGAGGAUGCCUCAGUUCGGAAUGGAACUCUUGA